AAUUGGGUGCCAGUUAACAGGUGAUUGCCCAACUCCGUCAGGUCCGGAAGGAAGCAGCGGUAAGCAUGAACUUGUGUAACUGGUUACCCUUUUUAU
RNAcentral lists this signal recognition particle RNA (96 nucleotides) under Ignavibacteria bacterium. Its description in RNAcentral is "signal recognition particle sRNA small type". It matches the Rfam family "Bacterial small signal recognition particle RNA". Rfam says of the family: The signal recognition particle (SRP) is a universally conserved ribonucleoprotein involved in the co-translational targeting of proteins to membranes. Lineage: Bacteria; Pseudomonadati; Ignavibacteriota; Ignavibacteria. RNAcentral also lists the same sequence under 1 other name. The record is from RNAcentral.